Oncorhynchus gorbuscha (pink salmon) is the source of this 3855-nucleotide RNA transcript. It is a transcript of the gene named exportin-2-like, with no coding region annotated. The transcript is spliced from 25 exons. Lineage: Eukaryota; Metazoa; Chordata; Actinopteri; Salmoniformes; Salmonidae. The record is from RefSeq and is a predicted model, not a curated record.
UUCAAGUGCGCUGGGGCUUGUCCAGCGUGGUUUUCCAAACUUGUUUGCGCACGCCCAGUGCACAGACCGCCCAGUGGUUUAAGAUUUUGAAAGCCAUUUCGUCCGGCAGCAGCGAAUAACAGCACAGACGCCGGCUGAGACAAAAGCAAGAGAAGGGCACCAUGGAGCUGAAUGAUGGAAACCUUCAGACACUCACAGAAUUUAUGCGCAAAACUCUGGACCCGGAUCAAUCAGUCAGGCGUCCAGCUGAAAAGUUUCUUGAGUCAGUUGAAGGGAACCAGAACUACCCAAUAUUGCUGCUUACAUUAUUGGAGAAAUCUCAAGACAACGUGAUCCGGGUGUGUGCAGCGGUCACCUUUAAAAACUACAUCAAGAGAAACUGGCGCAUAAUUGAAGAUGAACCAAACAAAAUCUCAGAUCCUGACCGAACCACUAUCAAGGCCAACAUUGUACAUUUGAUGUUGAGCAGCCCUGAACAGAUUCAGAAACAGUUGAGUGAUGCCAUCAGCAUCAUCGGCAGAGAGGACUUCCCUAUGAAGUGGCCGGACCUCUUGACAGAGAUGGUGACCCGCUUCCAGAGCGGAGACUUCCACAUCAUUAACGGAGUGCUCCGGACCGCACACUCACUUUUCAAGAGGUAUCGUCACGAGUUUAAGUCGAAUGAGCUGUGGCUGGAGAUUAAACUGGUGUUGGACACGUUUGCGAGUCCACUGACUGAACUCUUCAAGGCCACCAUUGAGCUGUGUCAGACCCAUGCGACGGACAUCAAUGCUUUGAAGAUCCUCUUCUCGUCCCUUACUCUGAUUUCAAAACUCUUCUACAGUCUCAACUUCCAGGACCUUCCUGAGUUUUUUGAGGACAACAUGGAGACCUGGAUGUCUAAUUUCCAUAACUUGUUGACCUUGGAUAACAAGCUACUACAAACAGAUGAUGAAGAGGAGGCAGGUCUUCUGGAGCUGCUCAAAUCUCAGAUCUGUGACAACGCUGCUCUUUACGCCCAGAAGUACGAUGAAGAGUUCCAGCCUUACCUGCCUCGCUUUGUCACUGCUAUCUGGAACCUGCUGGUCUCCGCAGGCCAGGAGGUCAAGUACGACCUGCUUGUGAGCAAUGCUAUUCAGUUCCUGGCAUCUGUGUGUGAAAGGCCCCACUACAAGCAUCUGUUUGAGGACCAGAACACACUCACCAGUAUCUGUGAGAAGGUCAUUGUGCCCAACAUGGAGUUCAGAAGUGCUGAUGAGGAGGCCUUUGAGGAUAACUCUGAAGAAUAUAUCCGAAGAGAUCUUGAAGGAUCAGACAUAGACACUCGGCGCAGGGCUGCCUGUGACUUAGUGAGGGGUCUGUGUAAGUUCUUUGAGGGCCCGGUCACAGCCAUCUUCUCUGGCUAUGUGAACUCCAUGCUGGGGGAGUAUGCCAAGAACCCAGUGGUGAACUGGAAGCACAAAGAUGCUGCCAUCUACCUGGUCACAUCUCUGGCCUCUAAAGCUCAGACAGCGAAGCAUGGUAUCACCCAGGCUAACGAGUUGGUGAACCUCACAGAAUUCUUUGUGAACCACAUUCUCACAGACCUCAAUUCCCAAAACGUCAAUGAGUUUCCAGUGUUGAAGGCUGAUGCCAUCAAAUACGUCAUGAUCUUCAGGAGUCAGUUGCCCAAAGAGCAGCUGCUGCAGGCUGUCCCUCUGCUGGUGGCCCACCUACAGGCGGAGAGCACAGUGGAGCACACCUACGCUGCCCACGCCCUGGAGAGACUUUUUACCAUGAGGGGCCCCAACAACUCCACACUUAUCACUCCUACAGAGAUGGCCCCCUUCACGGAACAGCUGCUCAACAACCUGUUCAAAGCCCUGGCUCUGCCUGGCUCAUCAGAGAACGAAUAUAUCAUGAAAGCCAUCAUGCGCAGCUUUUCCCUCCUGCAGGAGACCAUUGUUCCUUACAUCCCCACACUGAUUGGCCAGCUCACUCACAAGCUCCUCCUAGUUAGCAAGAACCCCAGCAAGCCUCACUUUAAUCACUACCUGUUUGAGUCCCUGUGCCUGUCUAUCCGGAUCACCUGCAAGGCCAACCCUACCACUGUGGGCAGCUUUGAGGAGGCCCUCUUCCCAGUCUUCACUGAGAUCCUACAGAAUGACGUACAGGAGUUUGUGCCCUACGUGUUCCAGGUGAUGUCUCUGCUUCUGGAGAUCCACACCAGCUCCAUCCCUAACUCCUACAUGGCCCUGUUCCCCCACCUGCUGCAGCCCGUGCUUUGGGAACGCACUGGCAACAUCCCCCCUCUGGUGCGCCUGCUUCAGGCCUACCUGGAGAAGGGGGCUGCCACCAUAGCCAGCUCUGCUGCUGACAAAAUACCUGGUCUGCUAGGAGUCUUCCAGAAGCUCAUAGCCUCCAAGGCCAAUGACCACCAAGGUUUCUACCUGAUGAACAGCAUCAUAGAGCACAUGCCCACGGAGUCCAUUGUUCAGUACAGGAAACAGAUCUUCAUUCUCCUCUUCCAGAGACUGCAGAGCUCCAAAACGACCAAGUUCAUCAAGAGUUUCAUGGUUUUUAUCAAUCUGUAUGGUGUCAAGUAUGGAGCCAUUGCUCUGCAGGAGAUCUUUGACAGCAUACAGCCAAAGAUGUUUGGCAUGGUGCUGGAGAAGAUAGUCAUUCCAGAGGUGCAGAAGGUGUCUGGCCCAGUGGAGAAGAAGAUCUGUGCCGUGGGCAUCAUCAAGAUCCUCACUGAGUGCCCGGCAAUGAUGGACACAGAGUACACCAAACUCUGGACCCCCCCUGCUCCAGGCCCUGAUUGGUCUGUUUGAGCUGCCAGAGGAUGACAGCAUCCCUGACGACGAGCACUUCAUUGACAUUGAGGACACAGCCAGUUACCAGACGGCUUUCUCCCAGUUGGCCUUUGCUGGGAAGAAGGAGCACGACCCCAUCGGCGACGCUGUCAGCAACCCCAAGAUCCUGCUAGCGCAGUCCCUCCACAAGCUAUCCACUGCCUGUCCUGGGCGGGUCCUCUCUAUGUUGAGCACCAGCCUGAAUGCUGAGGCCCUCCAGUACCUGCAGGGUUAUCUCCUGGCUGCAUCUGUGCAGCUCGUGUGAAGACAAGACGGCUUCCGCUCUGAUGCGUAAUGGAGACCAUGACAAUGCACAAUGACUGGGCACGGUCUGUCGCCCAUGGGCAACACUGGGACAGACUCGCCAGGACUGAGUGGACAGAAGACUGACUGACUUUACUCAUGGUGGAUACUUGGACAAUGGGUCAACAUUUUCAUUUAUGAAUUGGAAUUUCUAUGAUUUUAAGUGUUAAAAGAAAAUGCAUUUAAUAUGUUACCUUUAAUGAGCGCUCCAGAAUAUAUUUUGUAUUUUGGGGGGGGGGCUCGGUCCCUAAUUGGCUUGCUGUGCGGUUGGCAAGUUGAGCAAGGCUGUUGUCACCAACACUCAGCUUUGUGAAUAUAAUACUUUGAUAUGACUGUUUCUGCUUGUUUGUCGAUUUGUCAGUUAUAACAACGGCUAGUCAUUGUUCUAGAAUACUGUCAAUUCACAAGUAUUGGCCCCAAAACAUUAUGCUUAAAGGGAUACUUAGAGAUUUUGGCAAUGAUUUGCUCUAUUUCCCCGGAGUUCGAUUGAACUAGUGGAUACCAUUUUUAGGUCUGGUUGGUAUGAAGGAAUUUAGAGCUAGUUUUGCAAACCAAUGCUAACUAACCUUAGAUACCCGUAGACUUACUCUGGGGAAGUAGAGCAAGGGCCUCAUUUACAAAAUCCUGAGGUAUCCCUUUAAUGUUUUUCUGCAUGUAGCUAGUCAUAGCAUUGUCUUUUUUGAUGUGAAUAAAGAGGCACUUGUAUAAAACCGGUGCUGUGUAGCACUUUCAGUGACAA